This is a long non-coding RNA of Peromyscus leucopus (white-footed mouse), 557 nucleotides long. RefSeq lists it as uncharacterized. The record is from RefSeq and is a predicted model, not a curated record. NCBI's taxonomy places the organism in Eukaryota, Metazoa, Chordata, Mammalia, Rodentia, Cricetidae. The transcript is spliced from 4 exons.
GGAGACAUUGUGACCUCAAGCUCCCUCCCUCCACCAUUCCAUUCCCAUCACGAUGGACUGCACUCUAAAACUGUGAACCAGAAUAACCAUGUGUUUGUGACAGCAACGGAACAAGUAACUAAUUAGGCCGGGGUAUGCUCGAGACACUCCACUCAACACUCAAAGUGACCACACAGGUGUGGGCAUUUGAACUUGGUUCCUAGUUGGCGUCACUGCUUGGGAAGUUCCGGAUCCUUUAGGAGGUGCAGCCUCACAGGAGAAAGUACACGAGAGGAUGAGGAAAUGGCCUUGAGAGCAUAUAGCCUUGCUUGGGUUCAAGUUUGCCUUCUCCAUCUUCUACAUGUGAAUAAAGAAAUUGUCUCAUGCACAGACCAUGUUGCAAAGCAGAAGAAUGAUGUGGAAAUAACGGAAGUCAAUUAUUCUAGAGUAAGAAGGCCAACAUCACAGUGGUUGCCCUCUGCGGAGUAGUGCAUUCUUUAGGCUUCGCUGCUGAGCAAUGAAACGGAUCAGGCAAUUUGUUUCUGGAGAGCCCCGGACACCGACUGUAGACCGUCGCC